GAUGAACGCUAGCUACAGGCUUAACACAUGCAAGUCGAGGGGAAACGAUGAGAGAGCUUGCUCUCUUAGGCGUCGACCGGCGCACGGGUGAGUAACGCGUAUCCAACCUACCCAUUACAGGGGGAUAACCUUGCGAAAGUAAGACUAAUACCCCAUGGCAUUUUAUGGUGGCAUCAUUAUAGGAUUAAAGAUUUAUUGGUAAUGGAUGGGGAUGCGUCUGAUUAGCUUGUUGGCGGGGUAACGGCCCACCAAGGCAACGAUCAGUAGGGGUUCUGAGAGGAAGGUCCCCCACAUUGGAACUGAGACAAGGUCCAAACUCCUACGGGAGGAAGCAGUGAGGAAUAUUGGUCAAUGGGCGAGAGCUUGAACCAGCCAAGUAGCGUGCAGGAUGACGGCCCUAUGGGUUGUAAACUGCUUUUAUAGGGGAAUAAAGUGAGCUACGUGUAGUUUAUUGCAUGUACCCUAUGAAUAAGGACCGGCUAAUUCCGUG
This 490-nucleotide ribosomal RNA is filed under the name uncultured bacterium. RNAcentral's name for it is "partial 16S ribosomal RNA". It matches the Rfam family "Bacterial small subunit ribosomal RNA", at positions 28 to 507 of the family's 1533-position model. The record is from RNAcentral.